Long non-coding RNA from Leguminivora glycinivorella, 563 nucleotides. RefSeq lists it as uncharacterized. NCBI's taxonomy places the organism in Eukaryota, Metazoa, Arthropoda, Insecta, Lepidoptera, Tortricidae. The record is from RefSeq and is a predicted model, not a curated record. The transcript has 3 exons.
UAUAAAUAUUGAUGUAAAAUUAAUAUAGGCAGUAAAGUUGUUAAAAAGGGAUACAUUUAUUACUCAAAUAAGUUAGACAGCAUGACAGUAAAACCAAACCAUAACAGUGAAACAGAAGGUACCUAUUUUGUACCAGUUAAUCUUCGGGCUAGAUCUCGCUCGUGCGAGGAGGCCCUAAAAGACUUGUGAACCCCUUGUGAACGCCCUCGGUGAUCCUUAACUGGCGUGAACUGGCGCAGGAUAGGGCAGAGUGGCGAUCUCUUGUGUCGGAUCUCGUGUGAUCCUCUUUGUGUCGCUGAGCCAGUGAAAUUAUGAGUAUUAGCCACGAUAUAACUCAUGAAGGAGGGAGAACCUAGAGAACGAACCUAUGGAACGAGAGACGAAGUUGGUCAUAAAUAGAACAGGAGCGAUGAGAUAUUGGAGAAACUGUUAGAAGGAGAUCGUCCAAUGACGGCGUUCUUGUGCUAUCAAAUAGGUACCUAAUGUGAAGAUAAUACCUAGAUUUCUACUCGUCUAAUACCUCGCCUACCUCGAAAAAUUCAAUAAAUCAAUCAAUCAAAAUA